Molecule: long non-coding RNA, 494 nt
Organism: Sinocyclocheilus anshuiensis
Lineage: Eukaryota; Metazoa; Chordata; Actinopteri; Cypriniformes; Cyprinidae
Exons: 3
Source: RefSeq, a predicted model, not a curated record
CAAGGCUGCGCCGCGCUCCUGCCUCUGUUGUGAUUCAGCUGAAGAAAGGUUUGUGUUUUCAUCAUUUAAAGUGUUCAAAUCGACGCAGACCGCAACUUAAAAGACAUGAGCGACAGGUUUAAGUCAUCUAUCUGACAAAGUGUCCACAUAGACAGGAAAAACUCCUGGUGAAGCAACUGAGAUCCACGUGACACUGUUAUAAAGAUGGCGUUUAUUAAAGAGGAGAGUGAAGACAUGAGGAUUGAAGAAGUCAUAGUCAAACAAGAAGAAACUGAUGAACAAAUAGACCUGAUGCCACUGAAAGAAGAGAGUCAAGAACUGAAUGAAAUGGAAGAAGAAUAUCAUGAUUUCAUAACUGGGAAAAAAUCCACAAAGACCGAAAAGACUUCCUCACGAAAAAGAGCCCAGAAGAAAUCUUACAGGUUUUGCACCUGCCAUCAGUGUGGAAAGAGAUUCAGUCAAAAACAAAACCUUAAAAUCCACAUGAGAAUUCA